AUGGCCCACAACCCCGCCCGCGUUCAUCACAAAUUCAUAUAUCAUUGGGCCGCUCGACUCUGUGCUUCAAGCCUAUAUAUGUGUUAUGCAACACGACACGAUGUGAGGGAAGCACCGUCUAGGCUCGGCAAGCAGAUAGUGGGGAGAAGGCUCGAGUUGUCGACUCCACCCUCAACUAUUAUUCAGAAUGCCAAUGUAAUGUGCACGUCCAACGUCGGCCAGUCGUCCACAACACCCGUAAUGGGCCAUAAACGCUCAUGGGCAGACCUCGCGCCUGAUGCCCCAUCAUUCGAGCUGGACACAGACGGCAACGAUGAGGCAAGCACACCUAUCAAGAAGGAUGGAAAGGCCGAGCCGAUUUCACCUACUUCGGCAACAAAGAUAUACUCCGACAAUCUCGUUGGACAACUAAUGAUGCUCAAUGACGAGAUAGGAGACACUGAGGGAUACACCGUAUUUGGUCAAGUGAAUGACACGGAUAUAACAAAGAAGAAUGUGACUCAUACUGGGUUCCCCAAAGACCCAUGGUCCACGAACCAAUUGGUGCGUACACACGGCCCAACUAUACGGAAAGCUAUCAGAGAUUGGAUGCGGUCAAGGACGCCCUCCGACCUAUCAAGGGAAUGGGUCUCGCAUCCUGACCCGCGGAUAAUCUCAAUCAGUGGCAAAGCAAUUAAGUCACAAAUAUGCGAUGGUUAUGAAAUUGACCACGAGGUCGGGUCAUUGGUCAUACGUCGGAUGGGACAAAUGGAGGCGCACGCUCACCGUGCAACGCUGAAUGAACAAUACCGGUUGCUCCGUGAGCCCGACUUCUCGUGUCACGCAAUUGCAGGGGAAGACACUACAAGAAUCAUGUCAAUACAAAUACAAUUCACUGGAAUCGGAGUCAAGUGCAACAUUGCAAACUGCCGGAUGGUCACGGUCCCUGCAGAUAUGCAACAUGGUUGGUGCUGCUUCAACUGGGACAUGGUCGACAAGGUGAUAACCAUCAUGGACCCAAUGGCAUACCAGACCGAGGAUGCAUACCGGAAAACAUCCCUUAUAUACGCUGCCGACAAACUUCAUGACGCGCUGUUCGAUUGCAUCGAAGAUUUCUUCACCGAGUGGCACUGCAGCUGGAUGUUCUGGAGGAAGAAGACCCCCUGCUGUCAACCACAACAUUCACCAGGGCUGAGAGUGCCAUCUGUGUCAUCCACCUACUCAGACAUUUUAAAGGGACCUCACUGGCAAAACCACUUACUAAGGCAACUAUUACCGCUGAAAGGGACUCACUCCUCGUCGAGAUGA
This 1287-nucleotide ribosomal RNA is filed under the name Triticum aestivum (bread wheat). Its description in RNAcentral is "partial small subunit ribosomal RNA". Lineage: Eukaryota; Viridiplantae; Streptophyta; Magnoliopsida; Poales; Poaceae. The record is from RNAcentral.